AUAAGCGGAGGAAAAGAAACUAACAAGGAUUCCCCUAGUAACUGCGAGUGAAGCGGGAAAAGCUCAAAUUUAAAAUCUGGUGGCCUUUGUCCAUCCGAGUUGUAAUUUAGAGAAGCGUCUUCCGCGCUGGACCGUGCACAAGUCUCCUGGAAUGGAGCGUCAUAGAGGGUGAGAAUCCCGUCUUUGGCACGGACACACCAGGGCUUUUGUGAUGCGCUCUCAAAGAGUCGAGUUGUUUGGGAAUGCAGCUCAAAAUGGGUGGUGAACUCCAUCUAAAGCUAAAUAUUGGCGAGAGACCGAUAGCGAACAAGUACCGUGAGGGAAAGAUGAAAAGCACUUUGGAAAGAGAGUGAAACAGUACGUGAAAUUGUUGAAAGGGAAACGCUUGAAGUCAGUCGCGUCGCCCGAGACUCAGCCUUGCCUCGGCUUGGUGUACUUCUCGGCUGACGGGUCAGCAUCAAUUUUGCCCCUUGGAUAAUGGCGAGGGAAAUGUGACACCUUUACGGGUGUGUUAUAGUCUCCCGUCGCAUGCAAGGGUCGGGAUUGAGGAACUCAGCACGCGCCUUUGGGCGUCGGGGCGUUCGCCCACGAUACGUGCUUAGGAUGUUGGCGUAAUGGCUUUAAACGACCCGUCUUGAAACACGGACCC
Molecule: ribosomal RNA, 649 nt
Filed under: Russula exalbicans
Lineage: Eukaryota; Fungi; Basidiomycota; Agaricomycetes; Russulales; Russulaceae
Description: LSU rRNA
Rfam family: Eukaryotic large subunit ribosomal RNA
Source: RNAcentral